RNAcentral lists this unclassified non-coding RNA (334 nucleotides) under soil metagenome. RNAcentral's name for it is "partial contains 5.8S ribosomal RNA, internal transcribed spacer 2, and large subunit ribosomal RNA". The stretch from base 1 to 120 matches the Rfam family "5.8S ribosomal RNA", at positions 35 to 154 of the family's 154-position model. The record is from RNAcentral.
GAUGAAGAACGUAGCGAAAUGCGAUAAGUAAUGUGAAUUGCAGAAUUCAGUGAAUCAUCGAAUCUUUGAACGCACAUUGCGCCCGCCAGUAUUCUGGCGGGCAUACCUGUUCGAGCGUCAUUUCAACCAUCAAGCCCUGCUUGCGUUGGGGUCCUGCGGCUGCCCGCAGGCCCUGAAAACCAGUGGCGGGCUCGCUAGUCACACCGAGCGCAGUAAUACAUCUCGCUUUGGGCGUGCGGCGGGUUCUUGCCGUUAAACACCCCCUUUUUACCAAGGUUGACCUCGGAUCAGGUAGGAAUACCCGCUGAACUUAAGCAUAUCAAUAAGCGGAGGA